This 599-nucleotide ribosomal RNA is filed under the name Escherichia coli. RNAcentral describes it as "partial 23S ribosomal RNA". It matches the Rfam family "Bacterial large subunit ribosomal RNA", at positions 344 to 947 of the family's 2925-position model. The record is from RNAcentral. Lineage: Bacteria; Pseudomonadati; Pseudomonadota; Gammaproteobacteria; Enterobacterales; Enterobacteriaceae.
GGAAAGGCGCGCGAUACAGGGUGACAGCCCCGUACACAAAAAUGCACAUGCUGUGAGCUCGAUGAGUAGGGCGGGACACGUGGUAUCCUGUCUGAAUAUGGGGGGACCAUCCUCCAAGGCUAAAUACUCCUGACUGACCGAUAGUGAACCAGUACCGUGAGGGAAAGGCGAAAAGAACCCCGGCGAGGGGAGUGAAAAAGAACCUGAAACCGUGUACGUACAAGCAGUGGGAGCACGCUUAGGCGUGUGACUGCGUACCUUUUGUAUAAUGGGUCAGCGACUUAUAUUCUGUAGCAAGGUUAACCGAAUAGGGGAGCCGAAGGGAAACCGAGUCUUAACUGGGCGUUAAGUUGCAGGGUAUAGACCCGAAACCCGGUGAUCUAGCCAUGGGCAGGUUGAAGGUUGGGUAACACUAACUGGAGGACCGAACCGACUAAUGUUGAAAAAUUAGCGGAUGACUUGUGGCUGGGGGUGAAAGGCCAAUCAAACCGGGAGAUAGCUGGUUCUCCCCGAAAGCUAUUUAGGUAGCGCCUCGUGAAUUCAUCUCCGGGGGUAGAGCACUGUUUCGGCAAGGGGGUCAUCCCGACUUACCAACCCGA